GUCUAUAGCCAUGCCACCCUGAGCAAGCCUGAUAUCUGAUCUCAGAAGCUAAGCAGCGUCGGGCCUGGUUAGCAGUGGGAUGGGAGACCACCGAGAAAGACAAGGUGCUAUAGGCA
This is a non-coding RNA of Pteropus alecto (black flying fox), 116 nucleotides long. The record is from Rfam. Lineage: Eukaryota; Metazoa; Chordata; Mammalia; Chiroptera; Pteropodidae.